GUCAGCGGUCAGGUACUCUAACGUCUAGGCCAUCCUGUAAAUCCCUGUGUUAUUGUUAGUUGACUGAGAUACUUGGUCAGUGGUCAGGUACUCUAACGUCUAGGCCAUCCUGUAAAUCCCUGUGUUAUUGUUAGUUGACUGAGAUAUUUGGUCAGCGGUCAGGUACUCUAACGUCUAGAGUACCUGACCGCUGGUGAAUUAAUAUGACAGGUUAUGGUUGUUAGGUUAGGAGAGUUAAUAUGAGAGGUUAUGGUUGUUAUGUUAGGAGAGUUAAUAUGAGAGGUUAUGGUUGUUAGGUUAGGAGAGUUAAUAUGAGAGGUUAUGGUAGUUAGGUUAGGAGAGUUAAUAUGAGAGGUUAUGGUUGUUAUGUUAGGAGAGUUAAUAUGAGAGGUUAUGGUAGUUAGGUUAGGAGAGUUAAUAUGAGAGGUUAUGGUAGUUAGGUUAGGAGAGUUAAUAUGAGAGGUUAUGGUAGUUAGGUUAGGAGAGUUAAUAUGAGAGGUUAUGGUAGUUAGGUUAGGAGAGUUAAUGACACUAUGGAAAUAAAGGAUUUGCUUGCCUUGGUACUAUUCGUAAUUUUUAUGGACAGAAUUUCUAGGCGCAGCCAGGGGCCGGAGGGGGUCAGGUUUGGGGACCACACAAUUUCGUCUCUGCUUUUUGCAGAUGAUGUUGUCGUGUUGGCCCCUUCUAACCAGGACCUUCAGCAUGCGCUGGGACGGUUUGCAGCCGAGUGUGAAGCGGUGGGGAUGAAAAUCAGUACCUCCAAAUCCGAGGCCAUGGUCCUCAGUCGGAAAAGGGUGGCUUGCCCGCUUCAGGUUGGUGGAGAGUGCCUGCCUCAAGUGGAGGAGUUUAAGUAUCUAGGGGUCUUGUUCACGAGUGAGGGAAGG
Esox lucius (northern pike) is the source of this 884-nucleotide long non-coding RNA. NCBI's taxonomy places the organism in Eukaryota, Metazoa, Chordata, Actinopteri, Esociformes, Esocidae. The record is from Ensembl.